UAAUAAGUGUUUUAUGGCACUUUUUAAAUCCAUAUCCACCUUGUGUGCAAUGUUGGUCGAUCUUCUUUCAUUGAGAUCGACCAAACAUCAACCUUUAUCUUUUAACUCUUUGUCUGAAAAAUAUUAUGAAUAAACAAUUCAAAAUA
RNAcentral lists this unclassified non-coding RNA (146 nucleotides) under soil metagenome. Its description in RNAcentral is "partial internal transcribed spacer 1". The record is from RNAcentral.